CCUACGAGAGGCAGUAGUGGGGAAUAUUGGGCAAUGGGCGCAAGCCUGACCCAGCAACGCCGCGUGAAGGAAGAAGGCUUUCGGGUUGUAAACUUCUUUUCUGAGGGACGAAGAAAGUGACGGUACCUCAGGAAUAAGCCACGGCUAACUACGUGCCAGCAGCCGCGGUAAUACGGAGGUGGCAAGCGUGAUCCGGAUUUAUUGGGUGUAAAGGGCGUGUAGGCGGGAAAGCAAGUCAGAUGUGAAAACUCAGGGCGCAAUCCUGAGCCAGCAUGUGAAACUGUUUUUCUUGAGUGCUGGAGAGGAAAUCGGAAGUCCGUGUGUAGCGGUGAAAUGCGUAGAUAUGCGGAGGAACACCAGUGGCGAAGGCGGAUUGCUGGACAGUAACGGACGCUGAGGCGCGAAAGCGUGGGGAGCAAACAGGAUUAGAUACCCGGGUAGUC
This 443-nucleotide ribosomal RNA is filed under the name uncultured bacterium. RNAcentral's name for it is "partial 16S ribosomal RNA". It matches the Rfam family "Bacterial small subunit ribosomal RNA", at positions 338 to 795 of the family's 1533-position model. The record is from RNAcentral.